GUUUUUGGUUGUACAUUGUACAAUAGACAUUCCAUUACAUUCAGAGUGUGUGAAAGUUACUCGAGUACCAGGGCGUUUGACAGCCCAUGCAAAGCGGUACUCAGAGUCAUAGAUGCACAGGUGUGUGGGGUUUGCGACUUUGUCGACGUGCACAUGUGUCUCCACCAGCACAGAUGACAAAGCCGACUUUGAAGUUUCAUUAAUGAUCCUUCCGCAGGUUCACCUACGGAAA
RNAcentral lists this unclassified non-coding RNA (232 nucleotides) under uncultured fungus. Its description in RNAcentral is "sequence contains ITS1". Lineage: Eukaryota; Fungi. The record is from RNAcentral.